GACUCGUCUGUUGAGUGGGAACCGGUGAGAGAAGGCUCCAAGAUCAAGCUCAAGACGAGAUACGGUAACUAUCUAAAAGCUAACGGUGGUCUUCCUCCGUGGAGAAACUCCGUCACGCACGAUAAUCUUCAUUUGUCGGCUACUCAUGAUUCCAUCUCGUGGGAUGUUGAUGUUGUUGAGUUCCUGAUCAAUCCUCAAGUGACGGCGGAGACAGAGCAGCCUCUGGAGCAUAGGAGGACAUCACAUUCGAGAACGUCCUCUCUUUCACUGAGAUGUGAUCAAAGUGUGAGUUCUUUUUUUAUAAUUAUAAAAACACCCUCACAAUUGGUUUAAAUUACAAUCUUGACACGAGUUUUGAUUUUGAUUAGUCGGUUGUGUAUCCACCAAAAUCGGGUGGGAGAACGAUUUACUACCAUAUAGUUGAUGAUGAAGGACACGUGGGAGAUGAAUCAACCGUUGGAUAUGCUUGCACAUUUAAAGGGAACAGCGUGGCCGAGCUAACUCAGACGCUGCGAGAAGAAACGUGCUUGGUGGAUGCUGUGGUGUGCACUCGCAGUCCAUUAGAUGGCAAGCUGUUUCCCCUCUGUUUGCAACUUCCUCCUAACAGUGGAACAUUGCAUGUCGUUUUAGUACCUUUCUGUGCUAGCAUCUAGACGUGAAGUAGAAAAAGAAUCUCUACCAGGGUCAAAAUUUACAUAUGCAAAAUUACUCAACUAAUGAAGGUGGUCAGACCAUGAGAAUUUAAACAAUUAAUCAAAAUAUGCAUAUAUUAUAUCAAAUUCAAAAUUUCACAGGGGUCAGCUGACCCAUGUGAUCCUUCAUUGGCUCCGCCACUGUAUUGGUAUCCCAUAUUGUUGUAAAUGUAAUGUUUUCCUAGUAAGCAGUUGCAAUCAUUUUUAUUCUCAUUAUCUGCUUGAAGCUCUCUCACUAUAUUCAGUUAUGACAUUAGAAAUGAGUGAUUGUCUUCUUGUGUAGUGGAAGCAUUAUGAUAUGAACCUUGUAGGAAGUCUAGAAGAUAAUCAGACUUAGCUGGUAUACAAGACUCGUGGUACUUGAGCAUUGCUUGCUCUUUAGUAAGAGUUGAUAUAACAAAUACAGUAAAUAAAUACAAAUAUUCACAAAUGAAGUCAUAUGCGAGCAUCACUAACCUGAAAAAUCAAAUUGCACAUUACUAAUGACCUUAUUCAGUAUUCACUAUGCAUCUCUACAAGGCGACCCAUGUAAGCAAAUGUUUCAGCAUCAGUGCACCUUAAAGUGGGUCGUCAAACUCAUCAUCCCGUUUUGGUUUUUUGACAUUGUUGUAUGUCUGAUGAAGGUUCUUGGCUAUGGAAGAGAGAAGAAGGUGAUUCUAGAAGCUCCAUUGUAUGAUAAAGAUUGUGUUUUGGGCAACGUUUUGGCUGCCCAUUACCUUAUCUCUUCUGACCUUUCCAGAGCCAAAACCUAUGUUAAAGCUGCAGAAUCUCAUCUUGUAAGCUCUACCUUGUUUUUUUUUCUAGUGUCUAUGUAUUCAUUCUAAGUGAAGGAAAGAUGCUCUGCAUCUAUCACUUGUCUAAAAUUCAUUGGUUUUACUCUUAGGGGAAAGCAACACCGUAUGAGAAAGCAGUUUUCAAGGCUGUUAAUUACUUGAUCUCUGAUAACAUGGACGAAGACGUGGCGUUGGAGUUACACUUUAAGGUUAGGAUGUUUCUUGGCUUUUGGUUCUUCAUAGUUCUGCUUGAUCUCCUAGCCGUUAUUCUAACUCUCAUGUAAACUCUUUAUGUUUUUCAGUUAUUGAAAAAGUUUCCCAAAGAUUUGCUAUCUUGGAAGAGAGUAGAGAUUAUGUGUUUCUACAUGGGUCGACCUGAUCUCUCUUUGCCUCUGUUCAAGAAGGUACCUCACAUGUUGAUCAAAUUGAUGGUUAAUGCAUGGUUAAAAAUUAAUUACUUUGUCAUCAUUAUCUGUUGUUUAGAUUAUACCGGAGAAUCGAGACCAAGACUAUGUUUAUGGUAUGCUUGCCUUUCCCUUAUUGGAGCUUGGACAUUUAGCAGAAGCUGAGAAAGCUGCUAGGAAAGCAUAUGAGAUCAACAAAAACGACACUUGGGCUCAUCAUUGCGUGAGUUCCACGUUUGUUACCCUAAUCUUUUGGUAAUAUUUCCUUUUAUCCAUAUGCAAGCUUACAUUUGUGUGUGUUUUGGACAGUUGUGUCAUGUUCUUCAAACUGAAUGUCGUUUCAAGGAAGCAGUAGAGUUCAUGGAAGGUUGCUCAGCUUCAUGGGAUUCUUGCUCUUCCUUAAGGUAUAAAAAUCAUUUACUAAUUACUUAGAAACAUCUUCUGAUCAUCUACUAAAUAUAUAAAAAAAAAAAAACAAAUGUUUGAAUAGGUAUUCGCAUAAUUGGUGGCAUGUAGCUGUUUGUUACUUGGAAGGAGGGUCACCUCUAAGUAAGGUACAAGAAAUAUAUGAUCAUCAAAUGUGUAAAGAACUGGAGAAAGAAGAUGCUGUUGCUACAGAUGUAAAUAUCCCUUAUCAUGCUUCUUCCCCUUUUAAAAAAUGGAACAUAAGACUUCCAUUAGCAAACUCAUUUCUUAUACUUGUUUGUAUUAUUGAAUUUCAGGUUUAUAUGGAUGCUCUUGGUUUGUUGUUACGCUUGGACACACGCGAUCAACUAGAUGAGUUUUUAGACAGGCUGAAGAUCCUUGCAAACUGCUUGACUGAUCAAGUAAGUAAUUCAUCUGUUUUGCCUUGCAUUUAUUUGCACUUCUUCUAAGACUUUUCGCAAUUUUAAUUGUUCAGGGAAUGUGGUAUCAGGAGUGGCUUUUUGAUAUUACAAUAAUUUGGGCAUUGAGUAAAGUUGGAAACACUUCACAGGCACAUGUAUUGCUCGAGGGCCUCAAGUCCCGGUUAGUAUUACUUCUUUCUCUUUUGUGACAUUUUUCAAAUGAAAUUUUUGUUUCUUAACUCAUUUAAUUCUAACAGAACAUCUAAAAUGAGCAAGAAGAAACAACAGUUGAUGCAGAAAGCCAUCCAGGUCAGUUCUUAUUGAUACUGACUUAUAACUAUAUAUAUGACACUACUUGAAUUCUUUUAUCAAACAAUAAGAUCGUUUUUCUUAAUUUAAAUCAGGUUGCUGAAGCUGUUUAUGAAUAUGGGAAAGGCAACUACAAAAAAGCUCUAGAACUGCUCGGUCCAGACUUUGACGCUGCUGACUAUAAGGUAAUGCAUGUUCUUGCACUUAUGGAAGAAAAUACAGCAAAAUGAUCUCACCUCUUUCGUGUUCAAAAUAGGUGAUUGGAGCAUCGGAUUUACAGAUGGAUGUAUUUAAUGAAAUAUGGUACAAACUGUUGUUACUCAACGGCAAAUCUUCUAGUGGUACACUCACGAAAACACUAUUCUUCAGCUUGUUUUUUCCUUUACACAGCUAACUCUGCGUUUUAAACACAUUGCAGCGAUUAAAGUACUGGAGAGGAGGAUCAGACAGAGAGAUGGUGCUCCUUUCUUGUGGCGUUUGCUGGUAUUCUUUAAGUCACUUUAUAUGUGCAUAAUUAUUGAUUCAGGAUACUUUUAUACGUUUACAUGGAAUGAUUUGUUUUUACGGUUUAUGAAACGUUGAUGUGCUGUAACAGGAGAAGAGUUACGCUAUGGAAGGGAAUACAGAAGCUGUCAUAACUGCGUGUGAGAAAGCCAAGGCGUUGGAAGCUUCAUAUUUCAAGUUUGAUUGAUUGAACCAAAAGAAAAAACAGCAUCGUCCUGUCAUCCUUUUGACAUGCUUUUGCACUCUGUUACAAUAAUUUAACUCGUUAUGGUCAUAUAGGUCAAUGUAAAAAUUGACCUUAAACAUUCUAUGUAAAUUUGGUUCAUAAAAGACUAAUAGACGUUCUCGUAAGAUUACAGAUUCAAAUUGUCAAUAUGUAAGUUUUGUAUUACUUUUUUUGCAGCAACAUAAACAGACUCAAGGAUCUGCUAACUAAAUAGAGGAACUCCAUGUCUUUAUGGACAAAAUAGGACGAUUGACUUCGUACACCGCUUGCAAAAGUGUCCCGCCUUUGUAUUAUCAAUCCUGGGAAUAUGCCGAAGAUGAUCAUUUUUUCAGUAUGAUGCAUCACUAAGAACUUCCAAAUGUCAUUAGUUUGUGAUUAAUAGAAAAACAAAUCUAAGACUUGUUAGUAAUUUUAAAAUAACUGUCACUGGACAUGUUUCUUCAUUUCAUUUGAGAAAUUUUUGAUUUGAAUAUUUUUUUAAUAAUGCUAAGUUUAUUCAAAUUAAUUUUUUUUUAAUAUAUUGCACAAAAAAUACCACAUAUACUUAUAAAUUUUUUAUUUGAAUAAAUUUAACAUUCUUUCAAAAAAAAAUUAUAACCUUACUGAAAAUUUAUUUAUAUUAUAUGUUAUAUAUGAUUUUUAUCAACUACCUAUUAACUCUAUUUUGGUUCUUCUCAGAUUUAACUCCCAGGUUCAAAAGUUAUAAAACAUUAGAAUAUAAUUUAUAAAUUUUAAUCUUGGAAAGUAAAAGAAAUGUUAAUAUUCUGAUUUUGGUCUAGAACACGUGUUAAAAUAUAGCUGGUGUCUUGGAAUUCUCGCCACUGACUCUUUGUCAUGAUUGGAAGUUUGCAAAUCCAGAAAAUGUAACAUUGUGCAUGCAUGUGUGCUACUUUGAAAUCGUGAGACUCGUUACAAACACGUGAAGCAACCAACACGUUCUAAACGCUAACAGAACAUGCUAUCAUAUUGUGCUGACGUCGAAACUAAAACGCGGUAAUAUCCAGUCGGCAAAGUCUGACAUUUCCAGUUUUACUUUACAACACUAACCAGUCCCGUGUUCGUGUCCGCUUAACCACAAAAGCCGAUACACGUAUAAAUACACAGACCACAUCUUCACUUCUUCUUACAUAUUCCCCACUCAUUAAUAUUUUUUUUUAACAGAAGACGAGCAGCUUCGACCAAAAGGAGAAAGACAAGUAGCUUCGACCAAAACGAAACAUCAUCAGCAAUGGAGAUUUUCCAGAAAGCUAAAGCUAUUCGAAUGCGUAACAGCCACAACAAGUAUCUAUCAGCAGACGACAACGAAGAAACGGUUACACAAGACAGAAACGGUUCAACCAAAAACGCUCAAUGGACCAUCGAACCGGUUAGCGAUUCAUACAAUGUAAUCCGUCUUAAAAGCUGUUACGGUAAAUACCUAACCGCUUCGAACGAACGGUUCUUGCUCGGAGGUACAGGGAAGAAGGUGGUUCAGUUAAAACCGAGUCGACUCGACUCGUCUGUUGAGUGGGAACCGGUGAGAGACGGAUCCAAGAUCAAGCUCAAGACGAGAUACGGUAACUAUCUAAAAGCUAACGGUGGUCUUCCUCCGUGGAGAAACUCAGUCACGCACGAUAAUAUUCAUUUGUCGGCUACUUAUGAUUCCAUCUCGUGGUAUGUUGAUGUUGUUGAGAUCUUGAAUAAUCCUCAAGUCACGUUGGAGACCGAGUAUGCAUCACAUUCGAGAACACCGUCCUCUCUUCAAAAUGUGAGUACUUUUUAUAAUUAUAAAAACACCCUCAGAAUU
This 5521-nucleotide long non-coding RNA is filed under the name Brassica napus (rape). RNAcentral's name for it is "long non-coding RNA (BNAP_LNC026844)". The record is from RNAcentral. Lineage: Eukaryota; Viridiplantae; Streptophyta; Magnoliopsida; Brassicales; Brassicaceae.